CAAACCUCUUUCGGCGGGAACCAAGUGAGAGUGACGGUACCUGCAGAAGAAGCACCGGCUAACUACGUGCCAGCAGCCGCGGUAAUACGUAGGGCGCAAGCGUUGUCCGGAAUUAUUGGGCGUAAAGAGCUCGUAGGCGGUUUGUCGCGUCUGCUGUGAAAACUUGGGGCUCAACCCCGAGCCUGCAGUGGGUACGGGCAGACUAGAGUGCGGUAGGGGAGACUGGAAUUCCUGGUGUAGCGGUGGAAUGCGCAGAUAUCAGGAGGAACACCGAUGGCGAAGGCAGGUCUCUGGGCCGUAACUGACGCUGAGGAGCGAAAGCGUGGGAGC
This 330-nucleotide ribosomal RNA is filed under the name uncultured actinomycete. RNAcentral's name for it is "bacterial SSU rRNA". It matches the Rfam family "Bacterial small subunit ribosomal RNA", at positions 426 to 769 of the family's 1533-position model. The record is from RNAcentral. Lineage: Bacteria; Bacillati; Actinomycetota; Actinomycetes; Actinomycetales.